AUUGAACGCUGGCGGCAGGCCUAACACAUGCAAGUCGAGCGGUUGAGGUAGCUUGCUACCGAUGCAGCGGCGAACGGGUGAGUAAUACAUGGGAAUCUGCCUGGUAGUGGGGGACAACGUUUCGAAAGGAACGCUAAUACCGCAUACGCCCUACGGGGGAAAGGGGGGGAUCGCAAGACCUCUCGCUAUCAGAUGAGCCCAUGUCAGAUUAGCUAGGUGGUGAGGUAAAGGCUCACCAAGGCGACGAUCCGUAACUGGUCUGAGAGGAUGUGCAGUCACACUGGAACUGGGACACGGUCCAGACUCCUACGGGUGGCAGCAGUGGCGAAUAUUGGACAAUGGGGGCAACCCUGAUCCAGCCAUGCCGCGUGUGUGAAGAAGGCCUUAGGGUUGUAAAGCACUUUCAGUGGGGAGAAAGGUGAUUCACCUAAUACUUGGGUCGAUUGAUGCUACCCACAGAAGAAGCACCGGCUAACUCUGUGCCAGCCGCCGCCGUAA
Molecule: ribosomal RNA, 498 nt
Filed under: uncultured bacterium
Lineage: Bacteria
Description: partial 16S ribosomal RNA
Rfam family: Bacterial small subunit ribosomal RNA
Source: RNAcentral